This 573-nucleotide ribosomal RNA is filed under the name uncultured bacterium. RNAcentral describes it as "partial 16S ribosomal RNA". It matches the Rfam family "Bacterial small subunit ribosomal RNA", at positions 355 to 919 of the family's 1533-position model. The record is from RNAcentral.
UGGGGAAUUUUGGACAAUGGGCGAAAGCCUGAUCCAGCAAUGCCGCGUGUGUGAAGAAGGCCUUCGGGUUGUAAAGCACUUUUGUCCGGAAAGAAAUCCUUGGCUCUAAUACAGUCGGGGGAUGACGGUACCGGAAGAAUAAGCACCGGCUAACUACGUGCCAGCAGCCGCGGUAAUACGUAGGGUGCAAGCGUUAAUCGGAAUUACUGGGCGUAAAGCGUGCGCAGGCGGUUUGCUAAGACCGAUGUGAAAUCCCCGGGCUCAACCUGGGAACUGCAUUGGUGACUGGCAGGCUAGAGUAUGGCAGAGGGGGGUAGAAUUCCACGUGUAGCAGUGAAAUGCGUAGAGAUGUGGAGGAAUACCGAUGGCGAAGGCAGCCCCCUGGGCCAAUACUGACGCUCAUGCACGAAAGCGUGGGGAGCAAAACAGGAUUAGAUACCCUGGUAGUCCACGCCCUAAAACGAUGUCAACUAGUUGUUGGGGAUUCAUUUCCUUAGUAACGUAGCUAACGCGUGAAGUUGACCGCCUGGGGAGUACGGUCGCAAGAUUAAAACUCAAAGGAAUUGACGGGGU